GACGAACGCUGGCGGCGUGCUUAACACAUGCAAGUCGAACGGAAAGGCCCUGCUUUUGUGGGGUGCUCGAGUGGCGAACGGGUGAGUAACACGUGAGUAACCUGCCCUUGACUUUGGGAUAACUUCAGGAAACUGGGGCUAAUACCGGAUAGGAGCUCCUGCUGCAUGGUGGGGGUUGGAAAGCUUCGGCGGUUGGGGAUGGACUCGCGGCUUAUCAGCUUGUUGGUGGGGUAGUGGCUUACCAAGGCUUUGACGGGUAGCCGGCCUGAGAGGGUGACCGGCCACAUUGGGUCUGAGAUACGGCCCAGACUCCUACGGGAGGCAGCAGUGGGGAAUAUUGCACAAUGGGCGGAAGCCUGAUGCAGCAACGCCGCGUGCGGGAUGACGGCCUUCGGGUUGUAAACCGCUUUCGCCUGUGACGAAGCGUGAGUGACGGUAAUGGGUAAAGAAGCACCGGCUAACUACGUG
Molecule: ribosomal RNA, 468 nt
Filed under: uncultured bacterium
Lineage: Bacteria
Description: partial 16S ribosomal RNA
Rfam family: Bacterial small subunit ribosomal RNA
Source: RNAcentral